This 402-nucleotide ribosomal RNA is filed under the name uncultured bacterium. RNAcentral's name for it is "bacterial SSU rRNA". It matches the Rfam family "Bacterial small subunit ribosomal RNA", at positions 42 to 441 of the family's 1533-position model. The record is from RNAcentral.
CAGGCCUAACACAUGCAAGUCGGACGGUAGCACAGAGAACUUGGUCCUUUGUGAGAAGAGUGGCGGAUGAGUGAUUAGUGUGAGUGGAUCUGAUAGAGAGGGGGAUAUAAUCAGUGGGGACGGUGGUUAAUAGUAUAUACUAUCGCAAAAACAAAGGGGGGGACCUGCGUUUCUCUCACUAAUGAGUGAACGCAUAUGGUAUUAGUUAGUGAGGGGUGUAGUCGCCCAUGUAAGAAACCAUCUCUGUUUUGUGAGAAAGGAUGAUCACACAGUGUGUAAGAGACACACCGUACACACUCAUAAGGGAGGCAUGAGUGGUAUAUAUUGCAGGAUGGGCGCAUGAUUUAUGCAUGCAUCGUGUGUGUAUAAAGAAUGCCUAUGGUUUAUAAAUUACUUUCGGAA